Molecule: long non-coding RNA, 922 nt
Filed under: Mus caroli (Ryukyu mouse)
Lineage: Eukaryota; Metazoa; Chordata; Mammalia; Rodentia; Muridae
Description: lncRNA (MGP_CAROLIEiJ_G0005731.1)
Source: RNAcentral
GGAGGCGUCCCCACUUCCCUAAGAGAAAACACGGGCCACGAUGCCUUUAGCCUAGGGUAAUUAGACCUGGUUUUAAAUCUCUAUGGCAUCCCAUACAUAAGGUAGCCCGGGCCCUUCUGCUUCCCGGCCUCUUCUGUUAUUCAGCCAGAGCACACACUUUACAGACUUUUAACCGAACAUUUGCUAAUUACUAGCUAUCUCACUUUGGGCAAGUCCGUAAGUCUCUAAAAGGAAGAUAUUAUUAAAUACCCCUGCGGCGCUCUGAUCAAAAGGUCUCCCGAAGUUAAAGCACUUAACCUGCAAGUCUUACAGAGAGCAAGAGCGGGCGCUAUAAAGGGUGGUUAAUUUAUGAUUGUGUGUAAACGACUAUUUGAGGCUUUGCCUGGAUGGUAAAGUUUUGUCUGCGAGAUGAAGAGGAGGACCAGAGGGGGUCAGCGACCUCCAAAUGUCUAUGUGAACGUUUACACUAUGGGUCCUUGGUUUUCAUCAUGUUGUCAAAAGUAAUGAACACCUUCCUUGGACUUGAAAGAAGAGCCCAUUAUCACUGUCAUCUUUGUCAAGAAACUAGUUCUGAUCAUAGAUUGGAGGGAGGCAAUACCUCAGCUGUAGACCCAGAGCACCCUGGAUUUCGCUCCUGGCUUUCCUACUGAUCAGUGGUGUGACUCUGAGCAGGUGAAUCUAACUUGCUGACCUAUUAUUUCCUGUCUAUGGAAUGACAGUUGCCACCACGUGCCUGGCAAGACGUGGAGGAUGGCAUGAGAUAAAGUUGAUAAAGUGGUGUUAAUGGGCAUCUUAGCAAAUGCUUUCUUUCCAUGCUGACUUCAUGUCCUCUCUCCUCUCAGUGAGCUGUAUGUUCUAUAUGUCCUAUUAGUUGAGACGGUUAUCUCUUUAGGUGAGUACCCUUUCAAUAUAUUUUAAAAUA